GAUGAAGAACGUAGCGAAAUGCGACACUUGGUGUGAAUUGCAGAAUCCCGCGAAUCAUCGAGUUUUUGAACGCAAGUUGCGCCCGAAGCCAUUCGGCCGAGGGCACGUCUGCCUGGGUGUCACGCAUCGUUGCCCCCCCCAAACUUCGGUUCGGGCGGGGCGGAAGUUGGCCUCCCGUGCGUGCCUGCGCGCGCGGUUAGCCCAAAAGCGAGUCCUCGGCGACGAGCGCCACGACAAUCGGUGGUUUUUUUACCCUCGUUCCUCGUCGUGCGUGCCCCGUCGCCCGAACGCGCUCUUGCGACCCUCACGCGUCGCCUCGGCGGCGCUCCCAACGCGACCCCAGGUCAGGCGGGACUACCCGCUGAGUUUAAGCAUAUCAAUAAGCGGAGGA
RNAcentral lists this unclassified non-coding RNA (391 nucleotides) under soil metagenome. Its description in RNAcentral is "partial contains 5.8S ribosomal RNA, internal transcribed spacer 2, and large subunit ribosomal RNA". The stretch from base 1 to 122 matches the Rfam family "5.8S ribosomal RNA", at positions 35 to 154 of the family's 154-position model. The record is from RNAcentral.